Molecule: transfer RNA, 72 nt
Filed under: Novosphingobium kunmingense
Lineage: Bacteria; Pseudomonadati; Pseudomonadota; Alphaproteobacteria; Sphingomonadales; Sphingomonadaceae
Rfam family: tRNA
About the family: Transfer RNA (tRNA) molecules are approximately 80 nucleotides in length.
Source: Rfam by way of RNAcentral
UCCCCGAUAGCUCAGCGGUAGAGUAGGUGACUGUUAAUCACUUGGUCGUAGGUUCGAAUCCUACUCGGGGAG